GGAGGAAAGCAGGGGAUCGUAAGACCUCGCGCUAUUGGAGCGGCCGAUGUCCGAUUAGCUAGUUGGUGGGGUAAUGGCCUACCAAGGCAACGAUCGGUAGCUGGUCUGAGAGGAUGAUCAGCCACGCUGGGACUGAGACACGGCCCAGACUCCUACGGGAGGCAGCAGUGGGGAAUUUUGGACAAUGGGCGCAAGCCUGAUCCAGCCAUGCCGCGUGAGUGAAGAAGGCCUUCGGGUUGUAAAGCUCUUUCGGCCGGAACGAAAUCGUCCGGGCUAAUACCUCGGAUGGAUGACGGUACCGGAAGAAGAAGCACCGGCCAACUACGUGCCAGCAGCCGCGGUAGUACGUAGGGUGCAGGCGUUAAUCGGAAUUACUGGGCGUAAAGCGUGCGCAGGCGGCUUCUCAAGUCAGAUGUGAAAUCCCCGGGCUUAACCUGGGAACUGCGUUUGAAACUACAAAGCUAG
RNAcentral lists this ribosomal RNA (465 nucleotides) under uncultured bacterium. RNAcentral's name for it is "bacterial SSU rRNA". It matches the Rfam family "Bacterial small subunit ribosomal RNA", at positions 198 to 644 of the family's 1533-position model. The record is from RNAcentral.